RNAcentral lists this unclassified non-coding RNA (231 nucleotides) under plant metagenome. RNAcentral describes it as "partial contains small subunit ribosomal RNA, internal transcribed spacer 1, and 5.8S ribosomal RNA". The record is from RNAcentral.
UUUCCGUAGGUGAACCUGCGGAAGGAUCAUUAAAGAGAUCAUGCCCUCACGGGUAGACCUCCCACCCUUUGUUUACAAUACCUUUGUUGCUUUGGCGGGCCCGUUUGGCCCCGCGCUGAGCAACCGGCCCCGGCUGGUCAGUGCCCGCCAGAGAACCGAAAACUCUGAAUUAAAUGUCGUCUGAGUACUAUGUAAUAGUUAAAACUUACAACAACGGAUCUCUUGGUUCUG